Molecule: long non-coding RNA, 256 nt
Filed under: Homo sapiens (human)
Lineage: Eukaryota; Metazoa; Chordata; Mammalia; Primates; Hominidae
Description: HSALNT0205178
Source: RNAcentral
AAAGGACUUCUGACUCAAACUCCACUUCUAGAGUUCAGGUUCAGCACUUCCAGCCCGGCGACUUGGUGCUGAUUAAGACUUGGGAAGAAGACAAGCUCCACCCAAACUGGGAAGGUCCCUACCAAGCGCUCCUGACCACUGAGACAGCUGUGUGAACAGUGGAACGGGGGUGAGCUCAGUAUACUUGAGUCAAGGGACUGGUGGAAGAAUUGUCUGAAGAGGAUGAGUGAUCACCUUCCAGGUGGAGGUAAGAACG